AUUCCUUGCGGUUAGUGUCUGACUGUCAUAUUGUUACUUAAAUUGUUUUGGGGAGGGGAUCUGGCAUCGUCUCAAACCAUGGUCCGGAGUCUAAAUAAAGCUCUUUCCUACCCAUGGCUGCUUGAUCACAAAAAUGUCUUAAUCUUGAAUAUGCACACCACUCUAUUGUGACGUCAUUCAUAUUCAGUCAGUGGGAAGUUUUGUUUACAUCGCAACAAUUGACAUCAACAGGAUAUAUUUACAUUUGCCGUGUUUGUCUACAAAGCCAACUGUGAAAUUGAUUUGUGAAAACCGCACUUCAUGAAAAAUAUGCCUACAUGCAAUUCUGUGUGAUUCUCACACCAAUAAUUCACACGAAACUUGAAAACAUACCUUAAAUACAAGACAUAUUUCAUAUAAUGCGAUUGGAAUAGACACUACAAAAGCUAUAUAUUGAAUAUAUAUUUACUAGGGCUGGAUCAAUAUAUCGGUAAUCAGUAUAUAUCAAUAUUUUUUAGCAAUACGAUAACCGAUACAGAGAUGCUUGUGUAUUGCUCGAUUAUUUCAACGUUUAAUUAAGAGAAAGAAAAACGUGAAAGUGAAUAACAUUACGAACGACUUAUCUAAAAUCGGUUAAACGCAUGUAAACAUGUCAAAAGUGUAGGGUCGCUACGUAAAAGUCAGCAGCAAAAAGGCAAAAUGUAAUUAUAUUUGUCAACAAGAGGUCGCAAGUUCUGGCGGAACAACGAGCCUAUAUAUUAUUACCCAUCUCAGACGGCAUCGCAACAUUGACCUGUUUGCUACUGUGAAACUUGGAAGCAAUUCCGUCAUGUUAUGAUGCCAUCACUAUGAUCACUUGCUGGCAGAGGCCUGCAAAUGUACACAGCAGUGACAUGUACUCAGCACUUAUGGUUUUUGAGAUGUGAGGGAUUUUUUUGUGCCAACUGUGAAACGAAACCUCAAUUUAUACAGUCUCAUCAGAUCUGAAGAACCUGUUUGAGCUGUCUCCACAUCCAGGAGUGGGAUUUGAACCUGCCAUGUGUGACACAUCUGAAUUCGGAAAUUUGAUACAAAGCAUGACUAUGAUUUGCCAAAAGAGCAUCUGUUUUGAUGUGACAAGAAAUAAACAGCAUAGUGAAGUUAAGCCAAGUUUUAGUUCAUGAAGACAACUUUUAAAUUCACCGUUUAUCAUAUAUCACAAAUAUGAACAUAUCAAUUGCUCUCAGUUUUUCAAGUGAAAUAAAUUUUGUAACAGAAAUACAUGUAAUUACAUUGGAUUUGGAAUAAAUGUUAUUUCUAAAUA
This is a long non-coding RNA of Saccostrea cuccullata (small rock oyster), 1282 nucleotides long. RefSeq lists it as uncharacterized. The transcript is spliced from 3 exons. The record is from RefSeq and is a predicted model, not a curated record. Lineage: Eukaryota; Metazoa; Mollusca; Bivalvia; Ostreida; Ostreidae.